UCUUCGUCUUCCCCCUUUCUCUCUCUCUGUUCCUCCGUCAAACCCUAGCACCCCCGUCAUCUUUUUUCCUCCGUGAAACCCACAAAUCGAUCGUGAACGAAAGCUAAAGCACAUCGAGAAAACAAAAAGUAAACAGACCAGAAGAAAGAAACAAGAUGUAUUGUUCGUGGAUAAUGGUGACCCAUGGAAUCCAAAGCCGGAAACUAAGUCCAAGGUGAUGUCCACGUUUAAAGCUGUUCACAGGGUUUUGAAAAAAGAUGGCAUAUUUAUCUCAAUAACUUUUGGCCAGGGAAUGUUGCAAUAGUGGAUGGAGAGUUAGAAAACAAAAGCAUUUGGAGAUGGAAAACUGAAAGAGCACAUCACUGCAAAGUCUGGUGUGAUGAUUAAGAAGAUUGGUGAUGACACUGAAUUCAUCAUUUUGGCAAGUGAUGGUUUGUGGAAGUGGACUUGAAAUAUGGCGUAUAGAGAAUCUUAAUCCAAUAUUUGUCCCAAACUCCUCUUAUGGAAAAAAUUUCACUGGGGAUUCCUAUGUGAUCUUAAAGU
Molecule: long non-coding RNA, 543 nt
Organism: Vicia villosa (hairy vetch)
Lineage: Eukaryota; Viridiplantae; Streptophyta; Magnoliopsida; Fabales; Fabaceae
Exons: 4
Source: RefSeq, a predicted model, not a curated record